RNAcentral lists this long non-coding RNA (748 nucleotides) under Rattus norvegicus (Norway rat). Its description in RNAcentral is "long non-coding RNA NONRATT006293". The record is from RNAcentral. Lineage: Eukaryota; Metazoa; Chordata; Mammalia; Rodentia; Muridae.
GCCAGAAGCAGCCAUCAGCAGUUGUGUGCCACCAAGACCCCAGGACCUGUGAAGAGCCAGCCUCCAGUGGGGCCCACAUCUGGCCUGAUGACAUUACCAAGUGGCCGAUCUGCACAGAGCAGGCCCAGAGCAACCGCACAGGCUUGUUGCACAUAGACUGUAAGAUCAAAGGCCGCCCCUGCUGCAUCGGCACCAAGGGCAGGUGAGCUCGUGCCCCUAACCCCUGCAGGCAGACGGACCUCUGGAACUGUCUUCUCUGCUCUUCGGUGAUGGGGGAGGCAGGGAUGAGGGGCAGGGAGAUAGAAGGGAGCUCGCUCCAUCCAGCCUGCUGUGCUCAGGUGCUGGGCUCUAGUGGGCAGAUGCCUGUUAGGAGGCCGAUACCCAUGUGCUUCCUGUCCACAGCUGUGAGAUCACCACACGGGAGUAUUGUGAGUUCAUGCAUGGCUAUUUCCACGAAGAGGCAACACUCUGUUCCCAGGUAGGCGAAGGAAGACUGCACAGCGGAAGCUGCAGGGACCCUGAGGACCACUGGGGUCCUUUCCAUGUGGAAGCCUCAGACGUGGCUUGCCUCCCAAGGCAGAACUAACAACCCUGUGUCUCCCACCCAGGUGCACUGUUUGGACGAGGUGUGUGGCCUUCUGCCUUUCCUCAACCCUGAGAUCCCCGACCAGUUCUACCGGAUCUGGCUAUCUCUGUUCCUGCAUGCUGGCAUAGUGCACUGCCUUGUGUCUGUGGUCUUCCAAAUGAC